AGACCACCCUUUAGAGGGCGGGGGAGCCGGAAGGGUUUCUUUGCGGGGAUGGUGGACCACUCCGCUGGAGAGUGGUGUUGAGGUUUGGGGACCAGAUCACUCGGGGGUGGGGAGCAGACCGUGGGAGCACAGCCCUCUGAAGAAAUGAGCUGAACCAAGAAGAGGAUGGGGGAAGGGAAGCAGGCCACCGGGGCUCCCUUUCCCGUGGCUGAGGGAGAGACGCUGGACCUGACACAAACUAGUGCCCCCCCCGGCCACCACAGGGAUGGGGCAGAGGCAGGGACCAGAGAAGACCGGCUUCCACACCUCACCAGUGUAUUCACCCUCACUGGGCCCACUCUGUGCUCCACUGGCAGUCGGUGGGGACGGCCUCUGACGGGACUACCAGCAGGAUGUCAAGAGAGCCAGGCAGAGGACGAGGUAAUGGUACCUGAGUUUAAAAUGGUACCGGAGUUUAAAGGCGUGUGACGGUUCAAUUCUAUUCUUAUGCCUGUCAGCAGAUUUCUGCGGCCUUUGUUUCACCUGAGAUAAGGUCUACCCGCUCCCUUUUUUGGCCCUUUGUGAAUGAGAGAACCACAGGAUGGGACGCGGCUCAACACUAAGUCUUGGCUUAAAUCUCACCUAGAGAUGCCUUCUCGAACCUCCCAGUUCAAGUAGCUCCACUUCUCCUCUCCACCAAGUUACCCGGCUUUAUUUUCCUCGUGACUCUCAGAACAUUUUCCUGUUUAUAUAUGUGUUUGUUGAUUAUCUGA
This is a long non-coding RNA of Leopardus geoffroyi (Geoffroy's cat), 752 nucleotides long. RefSeq lists it as uncharacterized. The transcript is spliced from 4 exons. Lineage: Eukaryota; Metazoa; Chordata; Mammalia; Carnivora; Felidae. The record is from RefSeq and is a predicted model, not a curated record.